Molecule: ribosomal RNA, 450 nt
Filed under: uncultured bacterium
Lineage: Bacteria
Description: bacterial SSU rRNA
Rfam family: Bacterial small subunit ribosomal RNA
Source: RNAcentral
GUGGGGAAUUUUGGACAAUGGGGGAAACCCUGAUCCAGCAAUGCCGCGUGUGUGAAGAAGGCCUUCGGGUUGUAAAGCACUUUUGUCCGGAAAGAAAACCUUCGAGCUAAUACCUUGAGGGGAUGACGGUACCGGAAGAAUAAGCACCGGCUAACUACGUGCCAGCAGCCGCGGUAAUACGUAGGGUGCGAGCGUUAAUCGGAAUUACUGGGCGUAAAGCGUGCGCAGGCGGUUUGUUAAGACAGAUGUGAAAUCCCCGGGCUUAACCUGGGAACUGCAUUUGUGACUGGCAAGCUAGAGUAUGGCAGAGGGGGGUAGAAUUCCACGUGUAGCAGUGAAAUGCGUAGAGAUGUGGAGGAAUACCGAUGGCGAAGGCAGCCCCCUGGGCCAAUACUGACGCUCAUGCACGAAAGCGUGGGGAGCAAACAGGAUUAGAAACCCCAGUAGUCC